GAUGAACGCUGGCGGCGUGCCUAAUACAUGCAAGUCGAGCGAACAGACGAGGAGCUUGCUCCUCUAACGUUAGCGGCGGACGGGUGAGUAACACGUGGAUAACCUACCUAUAAGACUGGGAUAACUUCGGGAAACCGGAGCUAAUACCGGAUAAUAUAUUGAACCGCAUGGUUCAAUAGUGAAAGACGGGUUUGCUGUCACUUAUAGAUGGAUCCGCGCCGCAUUAGCUAGUUGGUAAGGUAACAGCUUACCAAGGCAACGAUGCGUAGCCGACCUGAGAGGGUGAUCGGCCACACUGGAACUGAGACACGGUCCAGACUCCUACGGGAGGCAGCAGUAGGGAAUCUUCCGCAAUGGGCGAAAGCCUGACGGAGCAACGCCGCGUGAGUGAUGAAGGUCUUCGGAUCGUAAAACUCUGUUAUUAGGGAAGAAAAAAUGUGUAAGUAACUAUGCACGUCUUGACGGUACCUAAUCAGAAAGCCACGGCUAACUACGUG
RNAcentral lists this ribosomal RNA (497 nucleotides) under uncultured bacterium. RNAcentral's name for it is "partial 16S ribosomal RNA". It matches the Rfam family "Bacterial small subunit ribosomal RNA", at positions 28 to 507 of the family's 1533-position model. The record is from RNAcentral.